Molecule: ribosomal RNA, 274 nt
Filed under: uncultured Prevotellaceae bacterium
Lineage: Bacteria; Pseudomonadati; Bacteroidota; Bacteroidia; Bacteroidales; Prevotellaceae
Description: partial 16S ribosomal RNA
Rfam family: Bacterial small subunit ribosomal RNA
Source: RNAcentral
AUAUUGGAAGCUUGCUUCCGAUAGGCGUCGACCGGCGCACGGGUGAGUAACGCGUAUCCAACCUGCCCAUCACUUGGGAAUAACCUUGCGAAAGUAAGACUAAUGCCCAAUGACAUUUAUAGAAGGCAUCUGAAAUGAAUUAAAGAUUUAUCGGUGAUGGAUGGGGAUGCGUCUGAUUAGCUUGUUGGCGGGGUAACGGCCCACCAAGGCGACGAUCAGUAGGGGUUCUGAGAGGAAGGUCCCCACAUUGGAACUGAGACACGGUCCAAACUCC